RNAcentral lists this ribosomal RNA (448 nucleotides) under uncultured prokaryote. RNAcentral's name for it is "bacterial SSU rRNA". It matches the Rfam family "Bacterial small subunit ribosomal RNA", at positions 355 to 796 of the family's 1533-position model. The record is from RNAcentral.
UCGGGAAUCUUGCACAAUGGGCGAAAGCCUGAUGCAGCAACGCCGUGUGGGCGAGGAAGGUCUUCGGAUCGUAAAGCCCUGUUGUUGGGGACGAAGGGCGAAGGGUUAAUAGCCCCUAGCCUGACGGUACCCUUCGAGGAAGCCCCGGCUAACUACGUGCCAGCAGCCGCGGUAAUACGUAGGGGGCGAGCGUUGUCCGGAAUUAUUGGGCGUAAAGCGCGCGUAGGCGGGUCAUUAAGUCAGGGGUGAAAUCCCGGGGCUCAACCUCGGAAUUGCCUUUGAUACUGGUGACCUCGAGUCCGAGAGAGGUGAGUGGAACUCCGAGUGUAGAGGUGAAAUUCGUAGAUAUUCGGAAGAACACCAGUGGCGAAGGCGGCUCACUGGCUCGGUACUGACGCUGAGGUGCGAAAGCGUGGGGAGCAAACAGGAUUAGAUACCCGUGUAGUCC